RNAcentral lists this ribosomal RNA (510 nucleotides) under uncultured Glomus. Its description in RNAcentral is "SSU rRNA". It matches the Rfam family "Eukaryotic small subunit ribosomal RNA", at positions 569 to 1078 of the family's 1831-position model. Lineage: Eukaryota; Fungi; Glomeromycota; Glomeromycetes; Glomerales; Glomeraceae. RNAcentral also lists the same sequence under 1 other name. The record is from RNAcentral.
AGCAGCCGCGGUAAUUCCAGCUCCAAUAGCGUAUAUUAAAGUUGUUGCAGUUAAAAAGCUCGUAGUUGAACUUCGGGGUUUACCCAUUGGUCAGGCUUAAUUGUCUGUACUGGUGAGAUAAAUCUCUACCUUCUGAGGAACUUUCAUGCCAUUUAUUUGGUGUGAUUGGAAAUCAGGACUAUUACUUUGAAAAAAUUAGAGUGUUUAAAGCAGGCUAACGUCUGAAUAUAUUAGCAUGGAAUAAUGAAAUAGGACGGCUUGGUUCUAUUUCGUUGGUUUCUAGGAUCACCGUAAUGAUUAAUAGGGAUAGUUGGGGGCAUUAGUAUUCAAUUGUCAGAGGUGAAAUUCUUGGAUUUAUUGAAGACUAACUACUGCGAAAGCAUUUGCCAAGGAUGUUUUCAUUAAUCAAGAACGAAAGUUAGGGGAUCGAAGACGAUCAGAUACCGUCGUAGUCUUAACCAUAAACUAUGCCGACUAGGGAUCGGACGAAGUUAAUUUUAUAAUGACGCG